UACGUAUGGAGCAAGCGUUAUCCGGAUUUACUGGGUGUAAAGGGAGCGCAGGCGGUCUGGCAAGUCUGAUGUGAAAGGCCGGGGCUCAACUCCGGGACUGCAUUGGAAACUGUCAGACUGGAGUGUCGGAGAGGUAAGCGGAAUUCCUAGUGUAGCGGUGAAAUGCGUAGAUAUUAGGAGGAACACCAGUGGCGAAGGCGGCUUACUGGACGAUGACUGACGUUGAGGCUCGAAAGCGUGGGGAGCAAACAGG
This 253-nucleotide ribosomal RNA is filed under the name uncultured bacterium. RNAcentral's name for it is "partial 16S ribosomal RNA". It matches the Rfam family "Bacterial small subunit ribosomal RNA", at positions 524 to 776 of the family's 1533-position model. The record is from RNAcentral.